RNAcentral lists this long non-coding RNA (433 nucleotides) under Vombatus ursinus (common wombat). RNAcentral describes it as "lncRNA (ENSVURG00010024785.1)". Lineage: Eukaryota; Metazoa; Chordata; Mammalia; Diprotodontia; Vombatidae. The record is from RNAcentral.
CAGAGAGAUCCCUCUCUCCCCUCCAUUUUGCAGGCUCAUUCCUAAUCUCUGAUCUCUAAUCUCUCUAUGUCUACUGAGUCCAGCCUUGAUCCAUCCCUCAAAAGGGCUCCUUUUGGAAGAGAAAUGGAGGAUUGCCCUGUCGCAGAAAUAUAAGGACUGAGAUGUACAGAGUGAACAACCUACAAGACUAAUCUGAUUGGGAAACAACUAAGAACCUUCUGGUAUUGCCUGGUUGUUCCAGGCUUCUCAACCUCCGAAGAGAUCCAGCCAGCACCCAUGAGACCCCAGCCUUGGGGCCUCAGAGGAGGCUCUGGAAUGAUACUCAGAACUGCUCAUCUGACCUGGAAAAAAGGCAGGAGGGUGGGAGGUGAGAGGUGAUCGUUAGCUCACCAUCCACAGACAUAAGCUAGCAUCAUAGGCCAUAACAUAGUGU